Molecule: long non-coding RNA, 405 nt
Organism: Neofelis nebulosa (Clouded leopard)
Lineage: Eukaryota; Metazoa; Chordata; Mammalia; Carnivora; Felidae
Exons: 3
Source: RefSeq, a predicted model, not a curated record
CGGAGGAAGCAAGCUGAUGGCAGGCGAGCGGCCCAGGGAGGCAAGCCGAGGGAGAGCAGAGGCACCAGUUCCUGAGCAUUUCCUAGAAAACUACUCUUCGGUUUUCUGUCAAAACAGAGAGUAGCAGUGGAGGGACCAACCCCAGAGGACCUCUUCGGCGAAAGAAACGCUGACUUUGGGAGUUGCCAGAUUGGGAGGACAGUGUGCAACCCGUGGAGAGGCCCACACGGGUGGAUAGGAAGUACUUCUGCCUCCUGCCAACAGCCUCUCGAGCAGGACUGGGAGCAGGUCCUCCACUGCCAGCUGAAUCUUGACGUGACUGCAGCAGCAGCCAACAGCUUGACCCGCCUUGAGCCCCAGGCACUCAGGACUGUGCUGUCUGCUCACUUUUGCCAGAUUACUGCU